GAUGAACGCUGCCGGCGUGCCUAAUACAUGCAAGUCGAGCGAACAGACGAGGAGCUUGCUCCUCUGACGUUAGCGGCGGACGGGUGAGUAACACGUGGAUAACCUACCUAUAAGACUGGGAUAACUUCGGGAAACCGGAGCUAAUACCGGAUAAUAUAUUGAACCGCAUGGUUCAAUAGUGAAAGACGGUUUUGCUGUCACUUAUAGAUGGAUCCGCGCCGCAUUAGCUAGUUGGUAAGGUAACGGCUUACCAAGGCGACGAUGCGUAGCCGACCUGAGAGGGUGAUCGGCCACACUGGAACUGAGACACGGUCCAGACUCCUACGGGAGGCAGCAGUAGGGAAUCUUCCGCAAUGGGCGAAAGCCUGACGGAGCAACGCCGCGUGAGUGAUGAAGGUCUUCGGAUCGUAAAACUCUGUUAUUAGGGAAGAACAAAUGUGUAAGUAACUAUGCACGUCUUGACGGUACCUAAUCAGAAAGCCACGGCUAACUACGUG
Molecule: ribosomal RNA, 497 nt
Filed under: uncultured bacterium
Lineage: Bacteria
Description: partial 16S ribosomal RNA
Rfam family: Bacterial small subunit ribosomal RNA
Source: RNAcentral